AGGGUGUAAACGCUGCAGACUUGGUGUUGGAAGCCCUUUGGGGGCAUUCAGUGCCGGAGAGAAGUUGUUAAGUCUGCUACUUGGGGAGUACGUCCGCAAGGAUGAAACUUAAAGGAAUUGGCGGGGGGAGCACCGCAACGGGAGGAGCGUGCGGUUUAAUUGGAUUCAACACCGUAAAACUCACCAGGGAAGACUGUUACAUGAAGGCCGAGAUGAAGACUCUGCUAGAUUUUCAGAGAGGUGGUGCAUGGCGUCAGUGACU
Molecule: ribosomal RNA, 262 nt
Filed under: uncultured archaeon
Lineage: Archaea
Description: partial 16S ribosomal RNA
Rfam family: Archaeal small subunit ribosomal RNA
Source: RNAcentral